This 378-nucleotide ribosomal RNA is filed under the name uncultured bacterium. RNAcentral describes it as "bacterial SSU rRNA". It matches the Rfam family "Bacterial small subunit ribosomal RNA", at positions 8 to 388 of the family's 1533-position model. The record is from RNAcentral.
AGAGUUUGAUCCUGGCUCAGAUUGAACGCUGGCGGAAUGCUUUACACAUGCAAGUCGAACGGCAGCACGGGGGCAACCCUGGUGGCGAGUGGCGAACGGGUGAGUAAUGUAUCGGAACGUACCCAGUCGUGGGGGAUAACUAUCCGAAAGGAUAGCUAAUACCGCAUACGUCCUGAGGGAGAAAGCGGGGGAUCGCAAGACCUCGCGCGAUUGGAGCGGCCGAUAUCGGAUUAGCUAGUUGGUGAGGUAAAGGCUCACCAAGGCGACGAUCCGUAGCGGGUCUGAGAGGACGACCCGCCACACUGGAACUGAGACACGGUCCAGACUCCUACGGGAGGCAGCAGUGGGGAAUUUUGGACAAUGGGGGAAACCCUGAUC